AGUCUACACCCACAUGUCUAAGGAUCCGAGUAAUCACUGCACCAAAUCCACAUGCAUUGCUCUUUUUUUUGGUUACUUUCCCCUUGUAUCCUGCUAAGUUUUCGGCCAGCACCGCUCCCAUGUUGAAGGCAGUAGCAGGUGGGAAUGUAGAGUUUCCAAAUGCCGGUAGCAAAUGCCUCACACCUUGGUACAGGAGGCACAACUCCCAUUGCGUGACUGAUGCGGCUGUGGUUGUCCCGUAUAGCAAUGAGCCAAUGAGGCGUGGGGCAUAUCUCAGUACUGGGCUUCGGAUAAGUGACUCCUUUGUCUGAGAAGAUCUAUAAACCCCUGUGCCAAUCGUUUCCCAGAAGUUCAAUAGCUCUGAAGUCCAAUAAAUACCAGAUGUCCUCUCCCCUGCACUCAAUCCAAAGAGUCCGCAGAGGUCUGUGAAAGAUAUCUCAUAGUAUACUUUCUGCACGACGAAUGCCAGAAAACCUUCCUGAUGGCUAUCAUCGGGACGGCUGACGUAUGCGGAUGCUAUGAACUGGCGUACCAACUCCGGAUAAGUGGGUUCGUUGAGGUUGCAUAGUUGGCCUAGACCCAUGUUCUGGAACAGUCCUUCAAUGUCUGCUUUGAUUCCCAAUAUUGUCAUCGUCUCAGGACAUGCUAGUUGUGUAGCCGGAACGGCUACCUUCUUCAUGUUGUUGUAGUGGGUGGUGUCAGACUUAUACCACUUCUUUGGCCUUUGCUUCUCUCGCUGAGACGAACCCUCUUCUUGUGUGUUCUUCUUUGCUGAUGUUUUCGUGCGCUUCAUUCUCUACAAAAUA
Molecule: long non-coding RNA, 806 nt
Organism: Brassica oleracea var. oleracea
Lineage: Eukaryota; Viridiplantae; Streptophyta; Magnoliopsida; Brassicales; Brassicaceae
Exons: 2
Source: RefSeq, a predicted model, not a curated record